UACGUAGGGUGCAAGCGUUAAUCGGAAUUACUGGGCGUAAAGCGUGCGCAGGCGGUUGUGUAAGACAGAUGUGAAAUCCCCGGGCUCAACCUGGGAACUGCAUUUGUGACUGCACGGCUGGAGUGCGGCAGAGGGGGAUGGAAUUCCGCGUGUAGCAGUGAAAUGCGUAGAUAUGCGGAGGAACACCGAUGGCGAAGGCAAUCCCCUGGGCCCGCACUGACGCUCAUGCACGAAAGCGUGGGGAGCAAACAGG
This 253-nucleotide ribosomal RNA is filed under the name uncultured bacterium. RNAcentral's name for it is "partial 16S ribosomal RNA". It matches the Rfam family "Bacterial small subunit ribosomal RNA", at positions 524 to 776 of the family's 1533-position model. The record is from RNAcentral.